RNAcentral lists this small RNA (66 nucleotides) under Romboutsia hominis. RNAcentral's name for it is "T-box". The record is from RNAcentral. Lineage: Bacteria; Bacillati; Bacillota; Clostridia; Peptostreptococcales; Peptostreptococcaceae.
UUAACUUUUAAAGUAGUAUCUAUAAAUUUAGAUAAUUAGGGUGGUACCGCGAAUAAUCUCGCCCCU